This is a long non-coding RNA of Bolinopsis microptera, 320 nucleotides long. RefSeq lists it as uncharacterized. NCBI's taxonomy places the organism in Eukaryota, Metazoa, Ctenophora, Tentaculata, Lobata, Bolinopsidae. The record is from RefSeq and is a predicted model, not a curated record. The transcript has 3 exons.
UUCUAUUCCAUCAUUGGUUUGAAAGUGGUCACUGCCCUGGUCCUGGACGGGUUUACCUCACAGGAGAAAUUGAGAGAAACCUCAUUGGAGGACAUGAGCGGUGUUUGUUCCAUCUGUGGGCUCACAAAAGACGAGGUUUCUGGGAAAGGAAUUGACUGGGACACUCACAAACAGGAACAUAACUUGUGGUCUUACGUCAACCUGUUUUAUUACCCUAAAAAUAAUAAGAGGUCCUCAAAACUGUCAGCUAUUGAAGACGAGGUGCUAGACAAAUUUGAGAGAGGCGAAAUAUCGUUUCUCCCUCGUAAAACAUCAUUAUC